Molecule: long non-coding RNA, 1039 nt
Organism: Peromyscus leucopus (white-footed mouse)
Lineage: Eukaryota; Metazoa; Chordata; Mammalia; Rodentia; Cricetidae
Exons: 2
Source: RefSeq, a predicted model, not a curated record
CAGUAGCCUAGUGUGCGUAAGAGAUACACUUCCUGAUUCUCAAUGCAACCAGACUUUCUUGUUCUUGUCUCUUUUGUAAGUUGUCAAAGUUAUCCCUCUCACACAGAGACUGUCCCCUAUGGUAUCAUGGAAUGAAAAUCAAAGGUAUAAAAGUCAUUAUUACCAAACAAUGGGACACCUCCUCACAGCCACAUAUCUACCCUCUAAUUCAGUCCCCUGGCUGCCUCAGCCCCUCACUUCUCAGACCUCUGCUCCUCCAGUGAGGACAUUCCUUCCCAGACCUCCAGAGGCAGCCUCUCGGCCCCAGGGUGUCCUUAUUCUCUCCCCCAGGUAAUUCUCUGUGUAGUGUUGGCCCCAGGGAUGCUGGUGUCACCGACCUCAGCACUGCACACACCGCCAGGCGCAGUCUGGGCAGGCGGCUCCAGGCACAGAGAGAACGACUGUAACCCCACUUCUUCCUGGGGAGAAAGCUAGAACACGCAACGCUUUCCUCCAGGCUCUGGACUGCUCCGAGACAGAAUGUGGUCUGACCCAUCAAGACCCUUGGAAACUCACCAGUUUGGACUUGAAUCUCCCACAAAGGGUGGAGAUGGGCAGAGCACCAGGGCAGCAGCACUGGGUACAGGCUGAGAUGCUAUCUACAGCAGCUUCUACAGGACACACGAGGGACUGUUCUGGACCUCCACAGCUGCCGUAAUGCAAGGAUGCUCAAUUUCCUCCUGUGAUGCCAUAGUGCCUGCAUCCAUACUUGGUCUGAGAAUAGGUAGGAGGCAUCGUGCAUCUACAAGGUCUCUAACCAUGGAUGUUUGCUCCACAUACUAUUCCUGCUAUUCAAAUUACUUCUGGAGUGCUUACAGGGCCUAAUACCACGCAAAUGCUGGGUAAAUCACUUGUGAAGCCAAUUGUUUUCUUUUGAUAGGAGGAUGGUUGGAACUGUGGACAAGGAACCUGCAGAUGCACAGACUCUACUGAAAGUCUUGUAAAAGUUUAUUUCUGGCUCCAACUCCAUUAAAAACAAGAAACAAGGCUGGGUCCUAUA